This is a long non-coding RNA of Lolium rigidum, 1219 nucleotides long. RefSeq lists it as uncharacterized. The transcript has 4 exons. Lineage: Eukaryota; Viridiplantae; Streptophyta; Magnoliopsida; Poales; Poaceae. The record is from RefSeq and is a predicted model, not a curated record.
CCCAACCUCAGGCCACGGUCUGCUGGGAGCAUUUACGGAACAUUCACUUCAUUUUCAUUCCUUUUUCUGAGUGGCAGGUUGAAGUGGAGAUAGGGCUACGUGAGCUAGUACCGGGGUACGCAUGCUAGUAGUAAUUGUAGAGACUACUGGGAAUUCAAGGCGCCCAUGUAUCUCCAGUGAUGCACUGAGCACAUGAAUCGUCUCAUAGCAGGAAAUAAUAUUCACUGUUGUGUGGGUGACUGGGUGCUGAAUAGUUUUAUUGUUCGCCGGUAUUGAACUUAGUCUGCCAAGUAAUUUUUGUCUUUCCUUUUUCAAUUCAAGUACUUUUGUCUUAAGAGUGUUUGUUGGGAGCAGGCAGUGCUGGAUCAGGAGCACGUCUGGGUGAUAGAUUGGAUCUUCUCUCUGAUGAAGUUGUCGCUGAGCAGCUUACAAGGAAUAUACAAUUUUUGGCCUUGAAUAUCAGAAGAAAGUUACCAAAUCUUUUGCUCUAGUUACUGCAAUAUUUGGUCAAGUUAUGGCCUUCUAUCUGGUUACUCAGCUUGCCAAAAUUGGAUUUUCAAGCUGAACCAAUUGUUAACCUGAAUUUGGACCAUUACUGUGUUCUCCACCAUCUUCUUGAGCAUGAGGAGCUUAUAUAUUGGUUAUUACUCCCUCCUUUUCAAUUUAUGAGGCCUAAAAUGUUGUCAGCUUCUUCCAUAUUAUAAGGUGGGAUAAAUCUAAGCCUGCCGAUGUGUCAAACAUAAUACUUUUCAAGUUCAGUGAGGCAGAUGCAAAUGAAUCCACCCUGCUUGAUCAAAUAAAGCAUGAAGCACCUGAAUUUCACGUCAUGGUUUUACAUGUGCUGAAACUUGAAACGAGCUGAAACAAAGUUUGCUUUAUAUGCUGGUCGCUAGAUGUUAUUGGAUUUCUACAAUUUGCGUACCGUCGUAACCUGAACCUGUGGAAUGUUCAUGGAUUAGGAAGGUAGGUUCCAGUUUGGUGUGGUCUGAUUUUGUGUGCUGCUGACGACGAGCAAGUAGAUGACAAACACACUUUUCAGAAGUUCUUUUUCAUCAUGGUACUGGCACUUGGUGGCAAUGUUUAGAUUUCUCUGAAUGAUCUUCCUGUAAUCAGCUCCCCAUGAUUUUUGAUGCGUUUGAGAUUAACUUAUAUGAACCGAACAGACCAUUAAUGUAUCGCUUACUACUGUAUGUGCAAUGAAUUCUAAGAGAUUCGGGCA